CAGCAAGUCCAGUGGGAAAUUAACUAACAGGGAUAUUAAACAAUUCGCCAUGAGGGGACAGAGGACGACCUUCAUCUUAAUAGAGAAGUCCCUUGAGAUUGAAAUCUCUUUUCCGAGGUCGACUUGGCCAAGACAGCACACCAGUUACAACUAAACGAGAUGGGUUCACCAGUGACGGCAUGUCAAGAUCGGAACGCAAAGGCAGGCAGAAAACUGAAAACAGCUCUGCAGAGAAGUACGGUUGUUUGCAAGACAAGAGUGCCAGAUCUACAGGGGAGUCAGGAUUUUACCGGAGGUCCUGGGAAGCCAUCCAAUCCCGG
This is a long non-coding RNA of Thunnus maccoyii (southern bluefin tuna), 320 nucleotides long. RefSeq lists it as uncharacterized. NCBI's taxonomy places the organism in Eukaryota, Metazoa, Chordata, Actinopteri, Scombriformes, Scombridae. The record is from RefSeq and is a predicted model, not a curated record. The transcript has 4 exons.